This 68-nucleotide transfer RNA is filed under the name Mus musculus (house mouse). Its description in RNAcentral is "tRNA-Ala". The record is from RNAcentral. Lineage: Eukaryota; Metazoa; Chordata; Mammalia; Rodentia; Muridae.
GGUGUGUAGCUCAGUGGUAGAGCAUUUGCCUAGCACGGUAAGGCUCAGGAUCAAACCAAUCAACAUCA